UCGUGGUGUGGGCCGCGGCGUGGGGCCUCGGGCUGGCGCUGCGCGGGCUGUCCGGCGACGGUCUGGCGGCGCCGUUCGUCGCCGUCUCCGCGGU
Molecule: transfer RNA, 94 nt
Filed under: Cellulomonas aerilata
Lineage: Bacteria; Bacillati; Actinomycetota; Actinomycetes; Micrococcales; Cellulomonadaceae
Description: tRNA-Arg
Source: RNAcentral